UACAGAGGGGGCAAGCGUUGUUCGGAAUUACUGGGCGUAAAGGGCGCGUAGGCGGCCUUCUAAGUCGAACGUGAAAUCCCCGGGCUCAACCCGGGAACUGCGUCCGAUACUGGAAGGCUUGAAUUCGGGAGAGGGAUGCAGAAUUCCAGGUGUAGCGGUGAAAUGCGUAGAUAUCUGGAGGAAUACCGGUGGCGAAGGCGGCAUCCUGGACCGACAUUGACGCUGAGGAGCGAAAGCUAGGGGAGCAAACGGG
Molecule: ribosomal RNA, 253 nt
Filed under: uncultured bacterium
Lineage: Bacteria
Description: partial 16S ribosomal RNA
Rfam family: Bacterial small subunit ribosomal RNA
Source: RNAcentral